UUAAGCAAUGAGAGCACAUUGAAUGCAGCAGUUGUCAAUGGAUCACUGAAGUUAAACGACGUUGCACGUGGUACCUACCGGGAUGGGUGACCAUCUGAACAACUACCUACUGCUUCUA
This 118-nucleotide ribosomal RNA is filed under the name Diaphorina citri (Asian citrus psyllid). Lineage: Eukaryota; Metazoa; Arthropoda; Insecta; Hemiptera; Psyllidae. The record is from RNAcentral.